UACGGAAGGGGCAAGCGUUGUUCGGAAUCAUUGGGCGUAAAGGGCGCGUAGGUGGUUCUGUAUGUCUACCGUGAAAGCGUACGGCUCAACCGUAUUUUGUCGGUGGAAACUGCAGGACUUGAGGCUGGGGGGGGCUGGUGGAAUUCCCUGUGUAGCGGUGAAAUGCGUAGAGAUGGGGGAGAACACUCGUGGCGAAGGCGGCCAGCUAGACCAGUUCUGACACUGAGGCGCGACAGCGUGGGGAGCAAACAGG
This 253-nucleotide ribosomal RNA is filed under the name uncultured bacterium. RNAcentral's name for it is "partial 16S ribosomal RNA". It matches the Rfam family "Bacterial small subunit ribosomal RNA", at positions 524 to 776 of the family's 1533-position model. The record is from RNAcentral.